This 79-nucleotide transfer RNA is filed under the name Neofusicoccum parvum UCRNP2. RNAcentral's name for it is "tRNA-Leu (TAG) (tRNA-Leu-TAG-1-1)". It matches the Rfam family "tRNA". Rfam says of the family: Transfer RNA (tRNA) molecules are approximately 80 nucleotides in length. Their secondary structure includes four short double-helical elements and three loops (D, anti-codon, and T loops). Lineage: Eukaryota; Fungi; Ascomycota; Dothideomycetes; Botryosphaeriales; Botryosphaeriaceae. The record is from RNAcentral.
GGGCAGGUGGCCGAGUGGUUAAGGCGCUACGUUUAGGCCGUAGUGGGAAACCGCGUGCGUUCGAACCGCACCCUGCUCA